Molecule: non-coding RNA, 1078 nt
Filed under: Perkinsus marinus ATCC 50983
Lineage: Eukaryota; Perkinsozoa; Perkinsida; Perkinsidae
Description: Eukaryotic large subunit ribosomal RNA
Rfam family: Eukaryotic large subunit ribosomal RNA
Source: Rfam by way of RNAcentral
ACGGGUGGUAAAUUUCAUCCAAAGCAAAAUAUAUACUCGAGACCGAUAGCACAAAAGUACCGUGAGGGAAAGUGAAAAGAACUUUGAGAAGAGGGUUAAAUAGUGCUGAAAUCGUUGAGAAGGAAGCGGAUGCCGCCGUUGCAUAUGCUGAUUGUAGGAUUGCUGCUCGCUCCUGUCUUCUGCUACUCAUUCACAGACCUGGUCGUGUUGAGCAGUUGUUUGGCAGAUGUUAGUGGUGUUUCCUACUUUCAGUCGUCAGCAUCACUGGCUGAGUGGAAAUAAUCCUUGGAUGCUAAUUGGUUCGCUAUCUGUGAAUUGGUUGCUUCCUUGCGAUACUCACUACUCGGUCAGUGAGGAAGUGCGUUUGCUGGUCAACGAGCUUUCUAACUGUCAUUACCCUGCGCUUUUCGAUUCGUCGAGUGGCCAGGAUGUGGCUUUGAGAUUGUUCGCACUUAGUAAUCGCGAUGCUGGCUUCCAACGGUUGCCUCCGGCCCGUCUUGAAACACGGACCAAGGAGUCUAACGUAUGUGCGAGUGUGUGAGUGGCAAACUUAUACGCGUAAUGAAAGUGAGGCCGUAUGGCCAUGUUGGGGUCACCAACAACCGACCUUGAUCUUCGGUGAAAGGUUUGAGUAUGAGCAUAUCCGUUAGGACCCGAAAGAUGGUGAACUAUGCCUGAGCAGGGUGAAGCCAGGGGAAACUCUGGUGGAGGCUCGUAGCGAUACUGACGUGCAAAUCGUUCGUCAGACUUGGGUAUAGGGGCGAAAGACUAAUCGAACCAUCUAGUAGCUGGUUCCCUCCGAAGUUUCCCUCAGGAUAGCUAGAGUCUUUAUCAGUUUUGUCAGGUAAAGCGAAUGAUUAGAGGUUCCGGGGAAGUAACUUCCUCGACCUAUUCUCAAACUUUAAAUGGGCAAGAUCCAGUAGUUACUUAAUUGAACUAUUGGGGUCAAUGAGACGACUCUAAGUGGGCCAUUUUUGGUAAGCAGAACUGGCGAUGAGGGAUGAACCUAACGCUCGGUUAAGGUGCUAAACUGCUCGCUCAUCAGAUACCACAAAGGGUGUUGGUCGAUCUAACAGCA